CUGCGCCUGCGCAGUCAGAUGGCGGAGGCCUAGGCUAAACUAAGGGUUUCGCCCGCGGGAAGCUGGGGCGUCUGGAGACAGGAAGGGAAAUGCGGUAGAGCAGGGCGCGCCUGGGUCCCCGAUCCAGCCCCGAGUGAGCCCGAGGUAUUUUCCUUAUAUGAUCAGGCCUCACGUGGCCGGCGCUGCUGGUCUGGAGCCUGAGAGGAUUAUGAAACCGUGGCAGGGUUUCCUGCUGUUCUGGAACUCGCCCUGUAGACCAGGCGAGCCUCGAACUAUGAGAUCCGCCUAAAUGCUGGCAUUAAAGGCACACUCCUCCACGCACGGCUUUAACCUAAUCAUUUCUCGUGAAAACUUUCAGGAAUACUGAAAUGUGGAAAGAAGUUACAGUAGUGGCAGCCAAGGAGAGCAAGCAAAGGUCCUGGGAGCUGCAAAGGUCCUGGGAGCUGCAGUAGUUUUAUAACAGAUGUAUGCUGGUGAGUUUGUGAUGCCUGCCUAUAAUCGUAGCACCUGAGAGGCUGAGGGAGACAGUAAGUCCAUUCAUGUCAGCACGGACUACAUCCUAAGACCUGUGUCUC
Molecule: long non-coding RNA, 575 nt
Organism: Peromyscus californicus insignis
Lineage: Eukaryota; Metazoa; Chordata; Mammalia; Rodentia; Cricetidae
Exons: 3
Source: RefSeq, a predicted model, not a curated record